RNAcentral lists this ribosomal RNA (645 nucleotides) under uncultured bacterium. RNAcentral's name for it is "bacterial SSU rRNA". It matches the Rfam family "Bacterial small subunit ribosomal RNA", at positions 110 to 753 of the family's 1533-position model. The record is from RNAcentral.
GUAACGCGUAUGCAAUCUACCUUAUACAGGGGAAUAGCCCAGAGAAAUUUGGAUUAAUGCCCCAUGGUAUUAUAGAGUGGCAUCACUUUAUAAUUAAAGUUCCAACGGUAUAAGAUGAGUAUGCGUCCCAUUAGUUAGUUGGUAAGGUAACGGCUUACCAAGACGAUGAUGGGUAGGGGUCCUGAGAGGGAGAUCCCCCACACUGGUACUGAGACACGGACCAGACUCCUACGGGAGGCAGCAGUGAGGAAUAUUGGUCAAUGGGCGCAAGCCUGAACCAGCCAUGCCGCGUGCAGGAAGACGGUCCUAUGGAUUGUAAACUGCUUUUAUACAGGAAGAAACCCUCCCACGUGUGGGAGAUUGACGGUACUGUAGGAAUAAGGAUCGGCUAACUCCGUGCCAGCAGCCGCGGUAAUACGGAGGAUCCAAGCGUUAUCCGGAAUCAUUGGGUUUAAAGGGUCCGUAGGCGGUCUUAUAAGUCAGUGGUGAAAUCCCAUCGCUCAACGAUGGAACUGCCAUUGAUACUGUAAGACUUGAAUACUUAGGAAGUAACUAGAAUAUGUAGUGUAGCGGUGAAAUGCUUAGAUAUUACAUGGAAUACCAAUUGCGAAGGCAGGUUACUACUAAGUGAUUGACGCUGAUGGA